UGAAGUAAAGGCGAUGGAGUUCGCUUAAUCGUCCCGAUUAAAUCGGGACCGAUAACUCCUACCACCCU
Molecule: non-coding RNA, 68 nt
Filed under: Thermodesulfovibrio sp.
Lineage: Bacteria; Pseudomonadati; Nitrospirota; Thermodesulfovibrionia; Thermodesulfovibrionales; Thermodesulfovibrionaceae
Description: Fluoride sequence
Rfam family: Fluoride riboswitch aptamer (crcB RNA motif)
Source: RNAcentral